This 5202-nucleotide long non-coding RNA is filed under the name Sus scrofa (pig). Its description in RNAcentral is "lncRNA (ENSSSCG00030006036.1)". Lineage: Eukaryota; Metazoa; Chordata; Mammalia; Artiodactyla; Suidae. The record is from RNAcentral.
ACAUGUGGAAGUUUCCAGGCUAGGGGGCUGAAUCGAAGCUACAGCUGCUGGCCUACACCACAGCCACAACAACAUGGGAUCCAAGCCGCAUCUGCGACCUACACCACAGCUCAUGGCAAUGCCAGAUCCUUAACUCACUGAGUGAGGCCAGGGAUUGAAUCCACAUCCUCACAGAUCCUAGUUGGGUUCAUUAACCGCUGAUGUCCCUUUAAGUUCCUGAGACUGAAAAUCUCAAAAUCUCUCUUUGAUUGUAUGGUAACCAUUAGGGGCUUUGUCGAGAAAGGAUGACAGGGGUAAUCAUCUGAGAACAGAUUUCUAGGUAAUUUAUACUUAGUCAAUCUAAACCUAAUUCCUGAGUGACCUAUAUUGUGCCUAAGGAGGCUGAAAUAAUCAUGUAUUUACCCUUUACCCUGAAAUUAGAUGGCACUUACUAUGCAAUUACCCAGCCACUAAGUGACAAUUACCAUGUAAUUAGAUGGUCAGUGGUUACCGUAUUAUUAAAUAGCAUUGACAUGAUAUUCGUUCCGCAGAACCUUGCACUGUUGCCACACAAUUAAACUCCCCACCAAGAAAUUACAGUCAUUCCUGGGAAGUUCUGCUCUUUGCUUGGAUGGCUUUUGAGUUGGCAGAAACAUUCAGCACCAUGUGCCUCCAAAGGAGCCAAGAAACAGCCAAAGCUGGGCACAGAUGUGACAUGGCCUCCUGGGCCUGGGCCUCUCGCCAGUCUGGGGCAGCACCACUGCAGCCCAACUCCAGUCCAACACUAGGGCAUCUGGGCAAAUUUCUCUAUCCUUCUAUGAGAAAAUGUUGCAGAGAGACAAUAUUCAUCAUGAUAUUUCUCUCCCAGAUAUGGUACCAAGCCAGGGGCACAGCGUGCUGAGAGAGCUUGAAGCCCUGAGUGAAGCACAAGUUUGUUUCUGCCUAGGAGAGAUCAUCACUAAUUAUCUAUAUAAGCAUAAGCUUCUUCGUAAGUUCCGUAAGGAUCUUUUUCUAUCUGCCUCAUGGGUCGCCUAAUCACCAACAGCAUUCCUGGUCCAUUGUAGAUGCUCAGUUAAUAUUAUUUGGCCAUAUUUAUUCAUGCAUUACUUAUUUAUUCAUUUAUUAGUAUGGAUCUACUACACGCCAGGCACCAUGGGCUGAAACAUUUUAAGGAUUCUAUAAGGUUCAAUGUAGUCCUGGAAAGAUUGAGUCCCUCAUCCAAGGUCAUUAUGCAACUAGUUGGGGGCAGAUACAAGACUGAACUCAGGUCUAUCUGACUCCAAAAGCUGUGCUCUUCCUACAACUCCACAUCAUGGCCACAUACAGCUUCAAAACACCCUGGAUGCUAAGAAAGACUUGGGAAAGAUAAUGGCUUUCUAGGGAUGGAUCACUUUUGGGUCCAAGCCUUCUUUAUGUAUAGUAAACACAAUAGUUUCUAUAAACUGUUAUUCACAUUUAGAAGAUGAAGUGGAGCUCAGGGAGAUUAAGUGUUUUGUCCAAAGUUACACUGCUGGUAAAUUGCUUAGGCUUGAAUUUGUGCUCAGAAGCCAUUUGUCUCAAUGGUGUAACUGGAGAGCAAUAGACUACCUGCCUCAGAACCUGACUUUUUACCUAUAAAAUUGAUAUGUCAUUGGGUCUUUGGGUGAGCAUUGUUUCCAGAUGUUACUGCUAAAAUGUAACAUCUCAGCCUAGAUCAAGUUACCUAGCCUCCAAAACAAAUGCAGGAGAAAAAGUGAGGUCAGAUGGCAAUGGAUUGAGUUUGAAGUUGUAUAGAGGAAAAGAUUCACUGGUGAAUAACAAAUAGGACUUAUCUAAAGUCAACCCCAAUCAGUUGAUAGCAGCAGCUUAGAGCACUGUAUUGUGAAGCCUUCUGAGGUUACAGUAGCUCAGCAGGUAAGUAUACUGAUUGAUUAGUGAUGUCUGCCAUGGACUCUUCUGAGGAAGUGACUGCACAUGGGCCAGGUCUUUACCAUCUCUGAUCUAGAUUGUAGGAUUCUACAAAAUAAGGUCAGGUUUCAAAAUGAUCAGGGCUAUAGAGAAGCUAACAGGUGAGGCCAGAAGACAACUAAAAAAGUAAGCAGCCAAAGAUACUCUUUCCUUCACAUGCAAGUGCUCAAAAGAGAAGUGAAAAAUAGUGUCAGUAAAAUAAAAACUACACGUCAGGAAACCUUGUUUCAGUCUCAGCUCUGCUGUAAAAUAAUGGCAAGACAUUGACCUCAUCACUAUGUCUCAGUUUCCUCAUCAGUAAAAUGAAGGUAUUUGAGUAGCAAAUCGCCAAACCACUUCCAAUUUCAGGAUCUAAAGUUUAUAGUGCAUGGUACUGAAUUAAGUGAAAAGAAAGGGAGAAGGGAAGCAGGUAGAAGUGAGUAAAGGCUGAUCAAACAUCUCCCUUAUUCCCUAUUGGAUAAGUAUCACAUACAAGGUGGUGAUCAAUACUUCUAUUUUGUCCAUGUUGAGUGUUAGACAUCAUUUCAACAUCCAAGUGGGAAUGUCAAGUAAGCAAUUGAAUAUAUAAGACCACAGCUCAAGGGAAAUGUCUGGGUAGAGAAAAUGAAAUUGUUGUCACCAAUAAACAGGUGGGGCUGAACAGGAUCCCCUGUAGAGAGAAUGAAACUACAGAAGAGAAGAGGACCCAGGUCUGUUUCCAACAUUCAGGAGUUUGGCUCAAAGGAAGGAGCCAACAAAGACUGAGAGGGAAUAUCUGGCAAGAUAGCAAGAGGCAUAGGAAGAAAGGGUUUCAAGAAGGAAGUUGUCAGCUGUGUCCAAUGCAGCUGAGAAAUGGAAUUACGUAAGGAAGGGGCCUUAGCUUGGCAAGUUGCAUCAUUGGUGACCUUAAUAAAAACUAUUUAAGGGAGCGAUGGGGAUUAAACUUGAUUAGAAUGAGUAGAUGAAAUACUGGGAGAUGUGAAAUUCAAGACAGUAAUUAUGGACAAAAUGCCUGGGCUUGGGGGUCUCAGGAUCCAUAAUGCAUUAUUGACUUAUAAUGCUUUUGUGAGAAUGUGUGUGAAAGAUCUAUCAUAGCACUUAGUGCUCAAAAGUAUAAAUUUCUGUUCCUUUAAUUCACCUACACUUAAUCAUCCUGGCAUUUUCCACAGAGAUGCCUUUCUGACAACUGUCAGAGCCCCCUCUCAGAUUCUAGUAUUUAAAGUCUUUGAUCUUGACAUUGGCCCUUGAGGAGACUGAUAGACCCGUUAGGCUUGCCUACUCAUCCUUUCACCUCCCAUGGUCCAGUCGGAUGAUUGUCUCAUCAGGCAGGCCACUGCUAAGGCCAAAUGAUAUCUUAUUCAAGGAGAAGAAAUCAGUCAUGUACAAGUGACUUCUAAAGAAGCCCUGCAGGAAGGGUAUGUGAGAGGCUCAUAAAUACAGCAAUGAGGGCUGUUGUGCUCAGCUACAAACUCUACCAACCCUUCUGCAGGAAUUUUAUAGUCAAAAUCCUAGGGCUACCAAGUAAGUGUGGUUGCUGAUCAGUUAUUCAUCUUACUGGCAGAAAUUUCCCAUUUUCUGGUUCUCCCCAGAUACAUGCUAAAUGGGUGAGAUGGUUCCCCACAUGACACAGGUGCAGGGAGAAAUGACACAUGGACCCAGGAGGUAAUUGGACCCAAAGACAAAGCAUCAGUCCUAUGGGUGUACUUCUCCAUGACAUCUGCUGAACCUACAGCCAAUGUCAUGUUCCAUCAAAGAAUCAUCUGAGUGUUAAACAAAUGCCAGGCUUCUCACCUAGGGAUCUGAGUUAUUCCAGUGAUAAUUUAACUUUGGAUGAUACCCACCUCCUCUUCCCCUAUUUGUUACAUCCUUUUCUUUAUCAGCCUCCUUGUGGGGACCCAAGAAUGCACUCUGGGUUAUCAUCAGGCAUGAUGGAGUCAAAUAUAAAAGCCAGACUGACAUUGGUUCUAAAAUCCCCAGUGAGCCACGUUGGGCUCUAGUCUUCAUCUUUAAAAUGCAAGGACAGUAAGGAAACAAGCAUAGAGUUUUCUUUUAAGAAAUAAAUGACAUAUGGUCUAUUCAGUGUUUAGUAGAGGGCCUGGCUGGCCCAAAAUAAGCACACAAUAAAUGUAAGCUACUGUCAAAAUAAAAACAACUCUGAACUUGGGGGGUGGGGUGAAGAUGCUCUUGUUAUAACAGAAGGAGGAAAACAACUACAAUAGAAAGAACAUUCCAACCAUGAGAUCUGGAAAUGUCCUGAGGGUUAAGGGGACAGGAACUCUGCUUUUAUAGGGAGGAGAGAACAAGGCUAAGAAGAACCAGGAGUGGGAGAAAUAGAUGAACAGGGUGAAUGUGUGGAGUUGUCCUGAUCUGACAGUAAACCAGAGACAAGGCAGGGGGGCUUUCUUGAAUCUUUGCUCUUUUCCAGGAUGGGUAAAAUUCAACACUGUCACUACAAUGAAAGUGUGCACAAGCUCUGUGAGCCUCUGUUUCCUCCUCUGUAAAAUGGGAUAACAGUUACUUUCCACAUCUGUUGAGCAGCUUGGAGACACAGGAUGCCAUACGCCAGCCAGAGUGAACACUAAAUGUUAUUUAUUUUUUUAAUGGUACAGAUCCACUAGGUAAUGAGCACUGUGCUCAGUUCCACAGGGAUGAAAAGCAUGUGGCAGAUUCUGAAGCACCAAGGCAAAAAAGGCCGGAAGUAGCUGAGUAUUUAGGAUUAGCCCCCAAGAAGUUCUCAUCAAAAUGGGGAUCAAUGUGAUGGUCUUGCCUCCCUUGCUGGUGUUGGACGAGCACUUCAGCUACAACCUUGUCAUCCUUACCAAACACAGUCAGGGGAGCCACCGGGUCCCCUCCUCUAGCCUCCAUGGAUGCAGAGAACUCUGAAUCACCUGCAGACCUGUUGAGAACAUGGAGAUCUCCUGCCUCUUCUUUGUAGCCCUUUUCUAGUCAGGGAGCGGAGACAAGUUUGAACAUUUCCAUCACCCCUGGCUGUGCAUUGGUUCUAAGCCACAGGCUAUCUGAGAUGAACACAGCACUACAGCAUUCAUGAAAAUCCCAGCAGAAUCAUCAGUCUUCCCAGAUCUGGUAUCCUGGAGUUGCAUUGAUUUUCACUCUCAUACCCGGAAGGAGACUGGACACAUAGUCCAUAUCCUCCAUUCCUACGGGUGGUUAAUGGCUGUACAGAGGGCAAAGCAUCAGUGCCUCCUCCUGUGAACCCAUCUAAGGACCAACAACCUCAGAUGUCCUCCACAGUCAGCUCAUCCUGUGGCACUGCAGAAGUUGCUGGUGAGCACUGGU